Molecule: ribosomal RNA, 253 nt
Filed under: uncultured bacterium
Lineage: Bacteria
Description: partial 16S ribosomal RNA
Rfam family: Bacterial small subunit ribosomal RNA
Source: RNAcentral
UACGAAGGGGGCUAGCGUUGCUCGGAAUCACUGGGCGUAAAGGGUGCGUAGGCGGGUCUUUAAGUCAGGGGUGAAAUCCUGGAGCUCAACUCCAGAACUGCCUUUGAUACUGGCGAGCUUGAGUUCGGGAGAGGUGAGUGGAACUGCGAGUGUAGAGGUGAAAUUCGUAGAUAUUCGCAAGAACACCAGUGGCGAAGGCGGCUCACUGGCCCGAUACUGACGCUGAGGUGCGAAAGCGUGGGGAGCAAACAGG